Molecule: unclassified non-coding RNA, 345 nt
Filed under: soil metagenome
Description: partial contains 5.8S ribosomal RNA, internal transcribed spacer 2, and large subunit ribosomal RNA
Rfam family: 5.8S ribosomal RNA (bases 1-120)
Source: RNAcentral
GAUGAAGAACGCAGCGAAAUGCGAUACGUAAUGUGAAUUGCAGAAUUCAGUGAAUCAUCGAGUCUUUGAACGCACAUUGCGCCCCCUGGUAUUCCGGAGGGCAUGCCUGUCCGAGCGUCAUUGCUGCCCUCAAGCACGGCUUGUGUGUUGGGCUCCGUCCCCCGAUCCCGGGGGACGGGCCCGAAAGGCAGCGGCGGCACCGCGUCCGGUCCUCGAGCGUAUGGGGCUUUGUCACCCGCUCUGUAGGCCCGGCCGGCGCUUGCCGAUCAACCAAAUUUUUAUCCAGGUUGACCUCGGAUCAGGUAGGGAUACCCGCUGAACUUAAGCAUAUCAAUAAGCGGAGGA